UAGGGAAUCUUCCGCAAUGGGCGAAAGCCUGACGGAGCAACGCCGCGUGAGUGAUGAAGGUCUUCGGAUCGUAAAACUCUGUUAUUAGGGAAGAAUAAAUGUGUAAGUAACUAUGCACGUCUUGACGGUACCUAAUCAGAAAGCCACGGCUAACUACGUGCCAGCAGCCGCGGUAAUACGUAGGUGGCAAGCGUUAUCCGGAAUUAUUGGGCGUAAAGCGCGCGUAGGCGGUUUUUUAAGUCUGAUGUGAAAGCCCACGGCUCAACCGUGGAGGGUCAUUGGAAACUGGAAAACUUGAGUGCAGAAGAGGAAAGUGGAAUUCCAUGUGUAGCGGUGAAAUGCGUAGAUAUAUGGAGGAACACCGGUGGCGAAAGCGGCUCUCUGGUCUGUAACUGACGCUGAGGCUCGAAAGCGUGGGGAGCGAACAGG
Molecule: ribosomal RNA, 429 nt
Filed under: Bacteroidota bacterium
Lineage: Bacteria; Pseudomonadati; Bacteroidota
Description: Bacteroidetes bacterium partial 16S ribosomal RNA
Rfam family: Bacterial small subunit ribosomal RNA
Source: RNAcentral